ACCUACGGGAGGCAGCAGUAGGGAAUCUUCCACAAUGGGCGAAAGCCUGAUGGAGCAACGCCGCGUGGGUGAAGAAGGUCUUCGGAUCGUAAAACCCUGUUGUUAGAGAAGAAAGUGCGUGAGAGUAACUGUUCACGUUUCGACGGUAUCUAACCAGAAAGCCACGGCUAACUACGUGCCAGCAGCCGCGGUAGUACGUAGGUGGCAAGCGUUAUCCGGAUUUAUUGGGCGUAAAGGGAACGCAGGCGGUCUUUUAAGUCUGAUGUGAAAGCCUUCGGCCUAACCGGAGUAGUGCAUUGGAAACU
RNAcentral lists this ribosomal RNA (305 nucleotides) under uncultured bacterium. RNAcentral describes it as "bacterial SSU rRNA". It matches the Rfam family "Bacterial small subunit ribosomal RNA", at positions 337 to 634 of the family's 1533-position model. The record is from RNAcentral.